Molecule: long non-coding RNA, 3894 nt
Organism: Mustela lutreola (European mink)
Lineage: Eukaryota; Metazoa; Chordata; Mammalia; Carnivora; Mustelidae
Exons: 4
Source: RefSeq, a predicted model, not a curated record
GGAGAGGCCGGUCCAGCUCACCCCCGCCCACUCCCACACCGUCUGUCCUUUUGCAGCCCGCUGGCUCGCCCCGCAGAGGGAUGGAUUCAGGGGAACAGGAGCUGCACCCACACCCCAAGAGGAGAGAGCACCCUGGUCACCUGUCAGGUAACCAUGAGAGCUACCUUCUGGAUGCUACCACUGCAGCAUCCUUCGAGGGGCCCCAAAGACUGCCUCCUGCAAGCCUGCUGGGAUCUGCACACAUCUAAGCCCUCUGAGGGUUCUUGAUCUCCUGGAUUGAAAGGGGCCAACUGAGCCCUUUUGUCUAACUGAAGAUUUAGAGGGUUAGCGGGCUUCAGUUUCACCCAGCACUGGAAGCCCAAGAGUUGCUGAGGUUUGAGACACUGAUUGGUUCUAUGGCUUCUAUGGCGCCUCCUUACCAGACUGAUGGGGUAAAGGGUUGUUCCCCAACCCCUUCACCUGCUCCCCCUCCCCAAAUGCUCCCCACCCACAUCUUCAACUAUCAAGCUUCUGGCUGCUCUUUGCCCUGAGAAAAAUUAGCCCAUCCUCCCUCAUUCCUCCACACCCUCUGCCCAUGACUCUCCUGGUGUACCUGAUUCAUCAAGCCCCUCCCCACCCUAUACAAAUACACCUGAGGACAGACAGAGCCUCAGACUUCCUGCAGCUCCUGGCUCUGUACUCUCAGGUGUUCCUUUUGUCACUCCCUGUACUUGGCGGAUAAAGAUGGAUCCAGGUAAGUGCUGUGGCUGGGAGGCUGUGGGGUGAAGAAGGAAGGAGACAGGUAAGAGCAGAGGCCGUCAGCCAUAUCUAUGCAUGCCGAGAACGUAUGUGUGUGUGAAGGUGGUGGAGGGUUCUAAGAGGAAAACAAUCUCUUACAUCUUGUAGAACCCUUCAGAGUUUAGGAGACAUGCUCAUACAGCCUUCAUCUCACUAGCCCUCAGGAGUAAAGCAGACAGGUGCUUCUCCCACCGUACACAUGGGAAACUAGGGGCCAUGCUCAGGAUGAGAUUGUGGGGAUACAAGGUCUGGAGCCCAGAACUCCGCUCUUGGCAGCUGUGCCCUUGGCUCCCCUCAAAAGGAACAAAGGACUAUCCUGGUCCUCAAGAAAUUCCAGUCUCCCCAAGCAGAUGAUUCCCACCAAUGGAGCACUUCAAAAGGCUCUGGACCACCCAGAUUGGUUGUUGCAGAUUGAGCCCCCCCCCCACCCACUGUGGGCAAGUAGAGUGGCAGGAUGGCCCAGUAGAAGCAUACUUUCUGCAGGAAGGCACACAGAACAGAGCGAAAAAGCUAUCCAAGAGGCAGGAGCCACAAGCAAAGGCUAAGAGCUGGGGCCAGAAGAUCAGAAGCAGGAACACAUGAACACCUGAGGUUCUAAGCAGAGACUGGGUCAGAAAAAGUCAGAUUUGUGGGAGGAGGUGGACUGGGGAGGCAGAGUGGGGACCAUCUGGAGGUGUAAGCAGAAGAGUCAGGAUUUGCCACUGUGGAGUACCUCCCUUUGUGUCACGGAAUUUGGCCAAGGUUGAGAGGGCAGACAGCCGGCAGGCUGGGGAUGAGAACCCAUGUCCCCUGACUUCACCCCACCCUGGAGGACUCCGUCAGCUCUCCAGCAAACAGGGAUACACAACAGAGCUUCGUACUGACUUCCAAUUAUCUGUAUCUGUUGUUGAGAGAAGGAAUGAUGGUUAGGCAAGUGACCAGUUCUGAGGAGCCUUUGCGGGGCUUGGCAAUGAGGGUGGGGCAGUUUGGUGGCCACAAAACCAAAUGACCAAAGCUACUUCUUUUUCUCCUUUCCUCUCCCACAGAUCCAAAGGUAAGAAAGCUCUCCAGCCAUCUCCCUUGCUCCUCCCCACUGCCAUGUCCUCCAGACCUCCAGCCCCCUCCCUUGACCUUCAGGGAGUAGCCAUGACCUUCCUGAAAUGAAGAGUGCGGAGCAGGCUUGGCCAUCAGCCCCAUGGGCGGGCAGGCAGGGGCACCACAGUGCUCCUCCACCCCCAGCCCGCUGCAGCCUUCUCCUCAGCGCCUCUCCUGUUUUCCCAUCUGUCUCUCCCGCUUCCUCACAUCCCCUCCCUGUCUCAGCUUCUCUCCUGCUGUUUCCCCGCCUGUUUCAUGCUUCUCUGCUUUCCUGGCUACCCCCACAGCCUCCCUGGAUGGCUGGCUUGCUCCCAAACCCCAACCACACUGCAGGGCUCCAGUGACCUGCCUCUGCUGGAGAAAGGAGGCUGCCUACCCACCUCCCCCCAUGGGUUCCCACCAGCAGAUGGGGCUCCUAGGCCUGGAACUGGCCCCACCCCAAGGAGAUUCAUAGAAGGAAAGGCAGGCGGGGUGGGAAGUGGUUGUUUGCAGGCAUCACUGAGGCUAGAUGAGGAAGGGGCUGCUCUGACAUGGUCAAGGGAAGCACCCCCCGCCCCCCAGCCCUAGAGCCUACCUCUACUUUUCCCAUGCCAAGCCCUCACUGGGGCUUAGGGGGCAGAAGCCAACAGGGCUAGGGCCAUAGCCCCACCCCUGCUCCCUCAGGGCUCCAGGUCCCCAGUGCCCCAGCACCGGGAGCAAGGUACCUGGUGUCUCCGUUCUCUUCCCUGGGCCUGUGGCAAGAGGCAAAGAAACUCCUCUGGCAUUGGGGCCUCAGGAAUUGUUCCAGCAAAGACAGAAGGUUAAGCCACACUCUUUCCGGCCUCUGCUGGCUGAGGCAAUACAGCCUUGAUUUUACUAUUUUUAUUCUUCCUGGUUUCUUGAGUCUAGCACCUGCUCAGGGACAGGCAGGGGCUCACGCACGCUCCCACUGUCACAUAUACACAUGCACACACGUGCGCCUACAUGCGUGUAUCUGGGGGCACAGCAGGUAUGCGUGCCUCAAUCUGUGUACCUGUGCAUGGGGUGGGGCCCACCUGUGCACAGGCACACAGACAUAACUCUUUGCAUGUAAAUAGAGCACAUCCCCUUGCACCUACACACACACACAGAGACACAUAAAAACACUGUAUAGAGAACGGACAUAUCCUCACCUGCCACCUCCUGCUUUUGUUCUCCUCCCACCCUCCAGCUACCCUCCCUCUCACCACCCCCCAGGGCUCCUGCAUCACUGUUAACCCUGCCUCUUGUCUCCUCCUUGCUCCUGGCCCUCAGGGAGCUCCCUUAGAGCCACCCCCAGCACACCCUCACUUGUGAGUAGUCAGCCUGCAGUUUCCAGUUGGGCAAAAUCUCCAAUGACUCUGUAAGGGUUCCUGGGUGAGAAAAGGGAGAUGAGAUCAUUCUGCUCCUUAGCUAUAGAAAUAAACCAAGGUCCAAGGAGUAGGAGUCAUUUCUUGGCUCAAGGAAUGGAAACCAAUGAAUCUAGGUUCUUCCCCUUUUGUCUGCUUAGUGCUCUGGCUUCAUCACUUGCUGACCCUGUCUCCCAGCCCUCCACCACCAUCCCCUGCUAGUGUCCAGGAAUCCAGAAUCCUCCAUGACAGAAGGUGGAGGGGAGGGGGGAAGAAGAGGGAAGUUGAUCUCAGGCAAGACUGCCGCUGACCCCUGACUCUAACAUUGUUCAUUUGGUUUUCCACAGGGGCACUGCCAUGGUGGUGGCAAUGGCCCAGGGCACUGUCCUGGGGGAAACCACCCCCAAGAGCCCUGUGGGCACCCCCCUGGCCAUGGCCCAGGACAUGGUCCUGGGGGAAACCACCCCCAAGAGCCCUGUGGGCACCCCCCUGGCCAUGGCCCAGGACACGGUCCUGGGGGGAACCACCCCCCAGGGCCCUGUGGACCCCCACCUGGUCCACCUCACUAAGGAAGCAGAAGAAUGAGGACACAAUGGGGAGCCCGAGUUGCGUUGCCCUGCUGACCUGGCAUGGAGCCUGAAGCAGAAUCUUCUCUUCCUAAUAAACAGCCUCCCAGAGGCCAUAUUUUAUUCUUAAA